This 301-nucleotide ribosomal RNA is filed under the name uncultured bacterium. RNAcentral's name for it is "partial 16S ribosomal RNA". It matches the Rfam family "Bacterial small subunit ribosomal RNA", at positions 509 to 807 of the family's 1533-position model. The record is from RNAcentral.
CAGUAGCCACGGUAAAACGAAGGGUGCAAGCGUUAAUCGGAAUUACUGGGCGUAAAGCGUGCGUAGGCGGUGAGUUAAGUCUGCUGUGAAAUCCCCGGGCUCAACCUGGGAAUGGCAGUGGAUACUGGCUCGCUAGAGUGUGUCAGAGGAUGGUGGAAUUCCCGGUGUAGCGGUGAAAUGCGUAGAGAUCGGGAGGAACAUCAGUGGCGAAGGCGGCCAUCUGGGACAACACUGACGCUGAGGCACGAAAGCGUGGGGAGCAAACAGGACUAGAUACCCCUGUAGUCCCUGUCUCUUAUAC